RNAcentral lists this ribosomal RNA (576 nucleotides) under Triticum aestivum (bread wheat). RNAcentral's name for it is "partial small subunit ribosomal RNA". The record is from RNAcentral. Lineage: Eukaryota; Viridiplantae; Streptophyta; Magnoliopsida; Poales; Poaceae.
AUGGCGUCGCCGUCGUGUGCCUCCACGCUGCCCUGGACCGCCGCCGCCUUCUCCUACCCGCGCCGCCUCCAGACGCGACGCGCCCCGUCGCUCGUCAUCGUCGCGCAGGGCAGGGUCAAGAAGUACCGCCAGGUCAUACUCAAGGACGACAUCGAUGAGAUUAGCGGCAAGAAGGGGGACACGAUGAAGGUCCGGGCCGGGUUCUACCGCAACUUCCUGCUCCCCAAGGGCAAGGCCACGCUGCUCACCCCCGACGUCCUCAAGGAAAUGCAACUGGAGCAGGAGAGAAUCGAGGCUGAGAAGAAGAGGGUAAAAGAAGAGGCACAGCAACUCGCGCGAGUCUUCGAAACCAUUGGGGCGUUCAAGGUGCCACGUAAAGGUGGCAAAGGAAAGCAGAUCUUCGGGAGCGUCACGGCGCAAGAUCUCGUCGACAUCAUCAAGUCGCAGCUUAACAGGGACGUGGACAAGCGGCUGGUGGAGGUCCCGGAGAUCCGCGAGGUCGGGGAGUACGUCGCGGAGAUCAAGCUCCACCCCGACGUCACAGCCAAGGUGAGGCUGACUGUGUAUGCCAAGUGA